RNAcentral lists this ribosomal RNA (492 nucleotides) under uncultured bacterium. RNAcentral's name for it is "partial 16S ribosomal RNA". It matches the Rfam family "Bacterial small subunit ribosomal RNA", at positions 29 to 507 of the family's 1533-position model. The record is from RNAcentral.
AGUGAACGCUGGCGGUAGGCCUAACACAUGCAAGUCGAACGGCAGCACGGUAAGAGCUUGCUCUUACGGGUGGCGAGUGGCGGACGGGUGAGGAAUACAUCGGAAUCUACUUUUUCGUGGGGGAUAACGUAGGGAAACUUACGCUAAUACCGCAUACGACCUACGGGUGAAAGCAGGGGAUCUUCGGACCUUGCGCGAUUGAAUGAGCCGAUGUCGGAUUAGCUAGUUGGCGGGGUAAAGGCCCACCAAGGCGACGAUCCGUAGCUGGUCUGAGAGGAUGAUCAGCCACACUGGAACUGAGACACGGUCCAGGCUCCUACGGGAGGCAGCAGUGGGGAAUAUUGGACAAUGGGCGCAAGCCUGAUCCAGCCAUACCGCGUGGGUGAAGAAGGCCUUCGGGUUGUAAAGCCCUUUUGUUGGGAAAGAAAAGCAGCAGGUUAAUACCCCGCUGUUCUGACGGUACCCAAAGAAUAAGCACCGGCUAACUUCGUG